AACGAACGCUGGCGGCAUGCCUAACACAUGCAAGUCGAACGAGACCUUCGGGUCUAGUGGCGCACGGGUGCGUAACGCGUGGGAACCUGCCCUUAGGUUCGGAAUAACUCCCCGAAAGGGGUGCUAAUACCGGAUAAUGUCUUCGGACCAAAGAUUUAUCGCCUUUGGAUGGGCCCGCGUUGGAUUAGCUAGUUGGUAGGGUAAAAGCCUACCAAGGCGACGAUCCAUAGCUGGUCUGAGAGGAUGAUCAGCCACACUGGGACUGAGACCCGGCCCAGACUCCUACGGGAGGCAGCAGUGGGGAAUAUUGGACGAUGGGCGAAAGCCUGAUACAGCCAUGCCGCGUGAGUGAUGAAGGCCUUAGGGUUGUAAAGCUCUUUUACCCGGGAUGAUAAUGACAGUACCGGGAGAAUAAGCUCCGGCUAACUCCGUG
This 433-nucleotide ribosomal RNA is filed under the name uncultured bacterium. RNAcentral's name for it is "partial 16S ribosomal RNA". It matches the Rfam family "Bacterial small subunit ribosomal RNA", at positions 29 to 507 of the family's 1533-position model. The record is from RNAcentral.